AGACAGUGUGUGAAAACUAAACAGAAAGGUUACUGGCUCUUUAUAAUACUGAACACUGAAGUUCACGUGAUUUUCUGUGUUUCUGGAGGACAGACAAGGAUAGAGCAGAACAGAACUGACAUUAACUCAGAGCAGCAGACGUUUCUGUUUAUCAGAUCACAAACCUGUUGAUGAAGAAGAGAAGAUCCUUGAAGACGUUGAAGAAGUAAUUACAGCAGAUUUGGUCAAAAGUGCUUCAUUCCUGAACUUUGUUCCUAAGUCACACAUCACGAUGGGGUUUUACACAUGUGUACAAAAGCAACUUCCUGAAUCUGAUGGAAAUAAUAAAACCACUCUUGAGAAAGGGGGAAGAAACCCACCUGAUGUCACUUUAGAUGACAUAGCUAAAGAUUUGUUGUCAUUUUUUAACAGGUUUGAGAGCUUACGUAACACAAAAAACAAUAUUGAAGAGAAAUAUGACAUUAAAAAUGAGUAUGGUGAUUACUGGUCAGCUGAUGAUAUCAAACGAGCUUGGGGAAAAACACAAAGAAUGGAUAAAAAAUCAGAUAAAAGAAAACACUGGGCUCAUGUGAUCAU
This is a long non-coding RNA of Carassius carassius (crucian carp), 576 nucleotides long. RefSeq lists it as uncharacterized. The transcript has 3 exons. Lineage: Eukaryota; Metazoa; Chordata; Actinopteri; Cypriniformes; Cyprinidae. The record is from RefSeq and is a predicted model, not a curated record.